Long non-coding RNA from Spea bombifrons (plains spadefoot toad), 182 nucleotides. RefSeq lists it as uncharacterized. NCBI's taxonomy places the organism in Eukaryota, Metazoa, Chordata, Amphibia, Anura, Pelobatidae. The record is from RefSeq and is a predicted model, not a curated record. The transcript is spliced from 2 exons.
CAGAAUUUUCAUUUCGGUGCAUCCCUAUAUACUAAGCCAGACACUGAAGCAGUAGGCCUACAACACAUCAAUGUUUGGCUUAGUAUAUAGUGAUAGGGGUUAUGCUACAUUAUUGGCAAUGUCUGGCUCAAUGUAUAGUGAUAGGUGUUAUGCUGUACCCCUGUCAAUGGUAUGCAGUUUUU